CGCACCUUGCGCUCCUUGGUAUUCCGAGGAGCAUGCCUGUUUGAGUGUCAUGUUAUUCUCAAUCCCCUGGGUUUAUUCUCUUGGGAUUGGAUUUGGAGGGUUAUUGCUGGCUUUGCAGCCGGCUCCUCUUGAAUGUAUUAGCUGGGCUUUUGCUUGAUGCAUUGGUGUAAUAAUUAUUACUUCACUAAUUGUAACUUGCUAUUGAAGCUUGCUUCUAAUCGUCUUUUUUUCAAAAGACAUUGAUAAGGAACUUUAUGGAUCCUUUGACAUAUUUUCCUCAAAUCAGGUAGGACUACCCGCUGAACUUAA
This 309-nucleotide unclassified non-coding RNA is filed under the name Fuscoporia sp. RNAcentral's name for it is "partial contains 5.8S ribosomal RNA, internal transcribed spacer 2, and large subunit ribosomal RNA". Lineage: Eukaryota; Fungi; Basidiomycota; Agaricomycetes; Hymenochaetales; Hymenochaetaceae. The record is from RNAcentral.